This 69-nucleotide transfer RNA is filed under the name Bos taurus (domestic cattle). It matches the Rfam family "tRNA". From Rfam's summary of the family: Transfer RNA (tRNA) molecules are approximately 80 nucleotides in length. Their secondary structure includes four short double-helical elements and three loops (D, anti-codon, and T loops). Further hydrogen bonds mediate the characteristic L-shaped molecular structure. tRNAs have two regions of fundamental functional importance: the anti-codon, which is responsible for specific mRNA codon recognition, and the 3' end, to which the tRNAs corresponding amino acid is attached (by aminoacyl-tRNA synthetases). tRNAs cope with the degeneracy of the genetic code in two manners: having more than one tRNA (with a specific anti-codon) for a particular amino acid; and 'wobble' base-pairing, i.e. permitting non-standard base-pairing at the 3rd anti-codon position. RNAcentral also lists the same sequence under 4 other names. Lineage: Eukaryota; Metazoa; Chordata; Mammalia; Artiodactyla; Bovidae. The record is from Rfam by way of RNAcentral.
CCUAAUAGCUCAGUUGGUAAAGAAUCCACCUGCAAUGUGGGAAACCUGGGUUCGAUCCCUGGGUUAGGA